Molecule: ribosomal RNA, 254 nt
Filed under: uncultured bacterium
Lineage: Bacteria
Description: partial 16S ribosomal RNA
Rfam family: Bacterial small subunit ribosomal RNA
Source: RNAcentral
UACGGAGGUGGCUAGCGUUUUUCGGAAUUACUGGGGGUAAAGGGCGCGCAGGCGGCUGCUCAAGUCAGGCGUGAAAGGCCUGGGCUCAACCCGGGAAUUGCGCUUGAGACUGGGCUGGCUUGAGUGCGGGAGAGGAUGGUUGAAUUCCCAGUGUAGAGGUGAAAUUCGUAGAUAUUGGGAAGAACACCGGUGGCGAAGGCGGCCAUCUGGACCGCAACUGACGCUGAGGCGCGAAAGCGUGGGGAGCAAACAGG